This 513-nucleotide unclassified non-coding RNA is filed under the name Hevea brasiliensis (rubber tree). Lineage: Eukaryota; Viridiplantae; Streptophyta; Magnoliopsida; Malpighiales; Euphorbiaceae. The record is from RNAcentral.
GGUCAGCAGAAGAAACUUACUUCAGAAACUUUAGUGUCCAAAGUACAAUUAUUUUGUACAAAAGAUAAUAAGAGAGCCUAACUCAGCUAAAAGGGUUGCAAAAGACUGUUAAAGACUAAGGAAACCAAUCUCAAAGAUAAAAGAUUCCUAUUAACAUGAAGCCAAUAUAUUGCUUCAAGUAAGAAUGAAAGGCCUAACAAGCUACCAGAACCCAUUAAAAUUACCAAACUCAGCUUAGCUUAGAGUGGCUAUUUUAACUGAUCAGAUUCUAAGCCCUAAGAUUCUUGUCUUAUUUAGAGAUUUAACUAAAGCCAUGGUUAGUCCUUCCUACAGAGCCUGAUAAUGCAAUAUAAAUUAUUGCCUAACUGCAAGCCACCAGGCAUCAUUGAUCCUGCCUACUUAUUAAAAUUUUCCAAUUGUCACAGAUUCUUGCUAAGGCAUAUGCUACAUCACCAAGUUUCCUAUCUCUACUCACUCCUCUCAUAUUAAUACACUCAAUUCAACCUUCAUAGU